Molecule: ribosomal RNA, 468 nt
Filed under: uncultured bacterium
Lineage: Bacteria
Description: partial 16S ribosomal RNA
Rfam family: Bacterial small subunit ribosomal RNA
Source: RNAcentral
GACGAACGCUGGCGGCGUGCUUAACACAUGCAAGUCGAACGGAAAGGCCCUGCUUUUGUGGGGUUCUCGAUUGGCGAACGGGUGAGUAACACGUGAGUAACCUGCCCUUGACUUUGGGAUAACUUCAGGAAACUGGGGCUAAUACCGGAUAGGAGCUCCUGCUGCAUGGUGGGGGUUGGAAAGUUUCGGCGGUUGGGGUUGGACUCGCGGCUUAUCCGCUUGUUGGUGGGGUAGGGGCUUACCAAGGCUUUGACGGGUAGCCGGCCUGAGAGGGUGACCGGCCACAAUGGGACUGAGGUACGGAGCAGACUCCUACGGGAGGCAGCAGUCGAGAAUAUUGCACAGUGGGCGGGAGCCUGAUGCAGAGACGCCGGGUGCGGGAUGACGGCUUUCGGGUUGUAAACCGCUUUCGCCUGUGACGAAGCGUGAGUGACGGUAAUGGGUAAAGAAGCACCGGCUAACUACGUG